GCUACGGCGGCCUAGUGGUUAGAGCAUCCGCCUCGGAUGCGGGAGGUCGUGGGUUUGAACCCUAUCCCUAGUCA
Molecule: non-coding RNA, 74 nt
Organism: Potamilus streckersoni
Lineage: Eukaryota; Metazoa; Mollusca; Bivalvia; Unionida; Unionidae
Source: the annotation of a GenBank genome assembly